CAAUAGCGUAUAUUAAAGUUGUUGCGGUUAAAAGCUCGUAGUUGGAUUUCUGUCUGAGGCGGCCGGUCCACUUUCUGAGUGAGCAUCUGGUCCGCUUUGGGCAUCCUCCUGGGGAACGUUUCCGCGCUUGAUUGUGUGGUACGGAAUCUAGGACUUUUACUUUGAGGAAAUUAGAGUGUUCACGGCAGGCUAUCGCCCGAAUACAUUAGCAUGGAAUAAUACUAUAGGAUCUCGAUUCUAUUUUGUUGGUUUCUAGAAGCGAGAUAAUGAUUAAUAGGGACAACUGGGGGCAUUCGUAUUAACACGUCAGAGGUGGAAUUCUUGGAUUGUGUUACGACGAACUACUGCGAAAGCAUUUGCCAAGGAUGUUUUCAUUGAUCAAGAACGAAAGUAAGGGGAUCGAAGACGAUUAGAUACCAU
Molecule: ribosomal RNA, 420 nt
Filed under: uncultured eukaryote
Lineage: Eukaryota
Description: bacterial SSU rRNA
Rfam family: Eukaryotic small subunit ribosomal RNA
Source: RNAcentral